GACGAACGCUGGCGGCGUGCUUAACACAUGCAAGUCGAGCGGUAAGGCCCUUUCGGGGGUACACGAGCGGCGAACGGGUGAGUAACACGUGGGUGACCUGCCCUCAGCUCUGGGAUAAGCCUGGGAAACCGGGUCUAAUACCGGAUAUGACUCCAUGACGCAUGCGUGUGGGGUGGAAAGCCUUGUGCGGCUGAGGAUGGGCCCGCGGCCUAUCAGCUUGUUGGUGGGGNGAUGGCCUACCAAGGCGACGACGGGUAGCCGGCCUGAGAGGGCGACCGGCCACACUGGGACUGAGACACGGCCCAGACUCCUACGGGAGGCAGCAGUGGGGAAUCUUGCGCAAUGGGCGAAAGCCUGACGCAGCGACGCCGCGUGA
This 376-nucleotide ribosomal RNA is filed under the name uncultured bacterium. RNAcentral's name for it is "bacterial SSU rRNA". It matches the Rfam family "Bacterial small subunit ribosomal RNA", at positions 28 to 404 of the family's 1533-position model. The record is from RNAcentral.